UACUCCCGCCGGCGGCCGGCGCACGGGUGAGUAACACGUAUGAAACCUGCCCGUAGCAGGGGGAUAAGCGGAAGAAAUUCCGUCUAAUACCGCGUAACAACCCGAGGAGGCAUCUCCUCGGGUUUAAAGGAAGCGAUUCCGGCUACGGAUGGUCAUGCGUCGCAUUAGCUAGUUGGCGGGGUAACGGCCCACCAAGGCGACGAUGCGUAGGGGUUCUGAGAGGAAGGUCCCCCACACUGGUACUGAGACACGGACCAGACUCCUACGGAAGGCAGCAG
Molecule: ribosomal RNA, 278 nt
Filed under: uncultured bacterium
Lineage: Bacteria
Description: partial 16S ribosomal RNA
Rfam family: Bacterial small subunit ribosomal RNA
Source: RNAcentral